CUCAGACUCCGCCCACUGACACCAGCUCCUCCUGCAGCUCUUAUGAAUGCUGAAGCACAGACUUGAUGUUUGGCACUCCUCCACCCUCAGAUUUGACAGUCAGGCUUCUGUCCUCCUUUCGUCUGACCUACAUCGCUGAUCUGACACCAGGGGAGAGAUCGAAGGGAGAGAAAGGGACAGACUGGAGAUGGGAAACAAACUAAAAUCAAGGGGAACGCAGUUGUGGAGACGGAGACAAUAAUGAAGAGGUUAACUGUGGAGAUAACACAUCCUGCAGUACCGUGAGGUUAACCACACAGCAGCGGGAGCACGGCCUCCGAAACACAUGCAGCAGCUGCUACAGGACAGUUUGGGGGAUUUUGGGGACGUAAACAGGAAGUAAGAUGUCAGCUUGGCUCCAGCUUCAGUCCAUGUUGUUGUAUCAAUGUUUCAGCACAAUGGCAGAAUUAAUCGUACGUUGAAUUAGCUGUUAGCCACUCCUGUUAGCAGCUUC
Molecule: long non-coding RNA, 493 nt
Organism: Acanthopagrus latus (yellowfin seabream)
Lineage: Eukaryota; Metazoa; Chordata; Actinopteri; Spariformes; Sparidae
Exons: 3
Source: RefSeq, a predicted model, not a curated record